This 204-nucleotide long non-coding RNA is filed under the name Trifolium pratense (red clover). RNAcentral describes it as "long non-coding RNA (TPRA_LNC001696)". The record is from RNAcentral. Lineage: Eukaryota; Viridiplantae; Streptophyta; Magnoliopsida; Fabales; Fabaceae.
UCGCUUUACCCCAUCAAAUUGAAUUGAAAUGACAAAUCUGCCCUUAUAUAUAAGGUAACAUGUAAAAAAAAAUCAUUUUCAAAGAAAGCGUGCUGGUGUGAGUUAGGGGAAAAAGAGAGAGUAAGUGAAAAACUUCAUACAGCUCACACUUUGAAAAAGUGUGCCGGUUUGAAAUCGUUACCGGUACUUUUUUUCCAAGUUGAU